CCAUUGCAAUUUACAUUUCAGUGUAAAGCUGUUGUGAUGGGAAACAUUACACAUGUAACUCACUUCAUACUUGUCUCAACAGUGAUUCUUCUAAAGGAAGCACUUCUGAAAACACAAGACAUGAUGGGAUGGACAACAGACCCUAUGAAGAGAUUGGUUCUACUAUCAGUCAUACUUAUGAAAGCUUAAGACAUGAUGGAAUGGACAGCACAGCCUAUGAAGAGAUAGGUCUGUCAAGGAGUGUGCACCAUCCCCAUGUGUCACAGCCUCCACCACUCUAUGAAAACACACUGCGUCCUGGUUGGCAACCACCAAGGCAGACAAACAGGUGCGUCCCACCAAAUGAAAGCUGUGGCAGUGAGGUGAGAUGUGUGUGU
Molecule: long non-coding RNA, 377 nt
Organism: Thalassophryne amazonica
Lineage: Eukaryota; Metazoa; Chordata; Actinopteri; Batrachoidiformes; Batrachoididae
Exons: 5
Source: RefSeq, a predicted model, not a curated record